RNAcentral lists this ribosomal RNA (484 nucleotides) under uncultured bacterium. RNAcentral's name for it is "partial 16S ribosomal RNA". It matches the Rfam family "Bacterial small subunit ribosomal RNA", at positions 30 to 507 of the family's 1533-position model. The record is from RNAcentral.
AUUGAACGCUGGCGGCAGGCCUAACACAUGCAAGUCGAGCGGAUGAAGGGAGCUUGCUCCUGGAUUCAGCGGCGGACGGGUGAGUAAUGCCUAGGAAUCUGCCUGGUAGUGGGGGGUAACGUCCGGAAACGGGCGCUAAUACCGCAUACGUCCUGAGGGAGAAAGUGGGGGAUCUUCGGACCUCACGCUAUCAGAUGAGCCUAGGUCGGAUUAGCUAGUUGGUGGGGUAAAGGCCUACCAAGGCGACGAUCCGUAACUGGUCUGAGAGGAUGAUCAGUCACACUGGAACUGAGACACGGUCCAGACUCCUACGGGAGGCAGCAGUGGGGAAUAUUGGACAAUGGGCGAAAGCCUGAUCCAGCCAUGCCGCGUGUGUGAAGAAGGUCUUCGGAUUGUAAAGCACUUUAAGUUGGGAGGAAGGGCAGUAAGUUAAUACCUUGCUGUUUUGACGUUACCAACAGAAUAAGCAUCGGCUAACUUCGUG